CAUCCUGAUCGUCUCCUAAAAGGUUGUAUCCUCCGAUCGUAGCUGAUCGUAACCAUUCAAGUUAACGUGUCAAUUUACACCGACUUCUUUCCGUUCCUCUGCGGAUCGCCGGACUCCUCAGCUGAUCACAAGAGUUCUAUUUUUUCUGGACGCCGGAGCAUGGCGGAUAAAUUCAGCACAGAUUAACCCGUGCUGGAAAGGAAGUCGGGCACAGACACAAAAUAAAACAUCCGGCUUCUUUUCAAAAUAAAACACUCCGUGUUUCAGGAGGAUCGUAUUUCACACCAUGCAAACGGGCGGAGACGAACAAGUGAAAGGUUUUUAGUAAGGCUG
This 333-nucleotide long non-coding RNA is filed under the name Xyrichtys novacula (pearly razorfish). Lineage: Eukaryota; Metazoa; Chordata; Actinopteri; Labriformes; Labridae. The record is from RNAcentral.